CCCAGGGUACAUUGAUUGAUGGGCAAGAAAUAGCAGUGAAAAGACUUUCAAAAAGUUCUCGGCAAGGAUUGACAGAGUUCAAGAAUGAAGUUAUCUUGAUAGCUAAGCUUCAGCACAGAAAUCUUGUUAAACUUCUUGGCUGUUGCAUUCAAGGAGAUGAAGUAAUGUUGAUCUAUGAAUUCAUGCCCAACAAAAGCUUAGAUUGUUUUAUUUUCGGUUUGUACCCCAAGAACUGGUUAGAGUUUCUUGCAGUUAGAUUGCUUGUUCUAUGAUGUUUCAUUUAUACAUCAGAAUAACAUAACAUUAUGAUAAAUUGAUUAGAUCAAACAAGAAACAAAUUCCUGGACUGGCAGAGACGUAACCUCAUUAUCGGUGGCAUUGCUAGAGGACUACUUUAUCUUCAUCAAGACUCUAGACUAAGGAUUAUCCAUAGAGAUCUCAAAGCCAGCAACAUAUUAUUAGAUAAGGAUAUGAACCCCAAAAUUUCAGAUUUCGGAAUGGCUAGACUGUUUGGAGGAGAUCAAAUUGAAGCAGACACAAAUAAAGUGGUCGGAACAUAGUAAGUACACUCUACACCUAUUUUGUUACAAUGUAUAAUCUCCUCACAUUUAAACUUUUUCUGAUAAUGUUUUUCCGCAGUGGAUACAUGUCCCCUGAGUACGUUGUUGAUGGGCGUUUCUCACUGAAAUCCGACGUCUUCAGCUUCGGUGUUUUAGUCUUGGAGAUAAUAAGUGGGAAGAAAAAUAGAGGAUUCUCCCACCCGGAUCACUACCAUAAUCUUCUUGGACAUGUAAGGAUAAAAUUAAACAUGUUAAUUUAAUUAUGUAUUGACAAUUUUUAUCAUAACAAGUUUUUGUUUUCAAGGCAUGGAAACUGUGGACGGAAGAGAGGGCAUUGGAGCUUCUUGACAAUAUGUCAGAUCGCCCGUAUUCUGUAUCUGAAGUAUUGAGAUGCAUUCAUGUGGGUCUGCUAUGCGUGCAACAAAAGCCGGAAGACAGACCAAAUAUGUCAUCUGUGGUUUUGAUGUUGGGCAGUGAGAAUUCAUUGCCUGACCCAAAGCAACCUGGUUUUUUCACGGAAAGGAAUAUGCCCGCAGUGGACUCUUCAUCAGGAAAUCAUGAAUCAUCGUCUAUAAAUGACCUAACUAUUUCAGAGCUAGAUGCACGGUAGAAGAUUGGCUCUGAUGGUUAAAAGGAAGAGCUAUAUAUAUAUAUAUAUAUGUAUGUAUAUUCUAGCCAAAUCCAAGGCAUAUAACAGAAAUUAAAUAUUUUCUGCUAUAAUUAUGUUGAUGUAUUAUUUUUACCUGUCUACAAGUCCUCUGCAAGUACUAGUGCGAAUACAGAUAGACAGAAUGCUUGAGGAUUCACAUCUCUGGACUGCACAAUAUCUGUACUUGUUUGCUUCGAGCCGUCGAAUUUAAUGCACGGAUCUGGGUUCAAGAUCUAUAUAUGCUAGAGCCUCACUGGCUUCUAACCCAAAAAGAAUCCAUUAGAAUUGUCAAUAUAUAAUUAGUAAAAAAAAAUUACAUACAAUUUAAACAAUCCAAAUUUAUAAUUCAAAUUUACAUUAUAUUUUUCAUAACAUGUUAAAAAAAUAUAUUUUUAACAACCAUACAAGGAGCUAUAGUCUUUCCUUGAUUGAUUUCAUAGCACCUUAAACUUAGCCUUGACCUAACCCUUUUAGGGAUAAAUAUUAUAGGUACGAGUACCUUGAUGAUACUUAGCCUUUGUAGGGGAAUCCGACCGGUGAUGUUUUGAUAUUUGCUCAUAGUAGGCUAAGCACACUAACACAAUAUUUAACGUGGUUCGACAAACCGCCUACAUCCACGGGAGAAACCAUUUGAUUAUAUAGGGAGAGAACAAGAUUUACAACAGUAGAGGAGGAGGAAUCAUCCCCUCUUUGGCAACUCUCAACCUCACUCUAUUUUUCUCUUCUCAAUGCUGCAUUGGCAGCUACUGCUGGCUGCCUUGGCAGCCCACUCUCUCUUACAUUUCUCUCAUAUUUGGCUCUACUUUCACUCUCAUUUUGCUCUCUAAAAUCAUGCCUCUUUUAUAGGCAUCAAUGGCAGCUCCUCUUGCUCCUUUGUCAGCAAUGGUGGCUUCCAAACUUACCAAACUUUGACAAUAGACAAUGGUUGUUGGCUGCCACCAACAACCCACCAUUAUAGCCUCAUUCUUUGACUCUCACAUAGCAGUCAUCUUCUUUGACAUAGGCAGCCACAUAAUUGGCAAUAUUCCAACAAUCACCCCCUUUGCCAUUUAUGUGGGGCAACUAUCCUCUUGCUUCUUCAGCACAUGCUUGCAUCUUGCAGCUUUUCCAAGCUUACCAUUCAACCAGAUGGUUUGUCACAUCUCAUCUGAAGAGUGUUUAAUGCUUGUCUCUGGAACAACAUUCCCCUUCAAGCAUAUCAACCAUGCUUGGCCUGGAAUGAUUUAUCAAGCCUUACAUCAAGGCUUACAACACCCCCUCAAACUGAUAUUCCCAAGUGCGAUAGUCAUUGAGUAUUUUAAUGUGAUCACGAGCUCACCACUCUUCCAAGAGCCUACUCAUCCAGGAGUUGCGUCUGCCCUCUAUUCCACCCUAGGAACCACGCCUUACUUCUCCGUGAGUCUCUCACUCUUAGUCUCAAGAGUCCGGGUAGCAUCCACCUUUACUUAUGGGGGCAGCCCAUUAAAGGUUGAUCCAUAUCUAUCUUCAUACUCUGAGUAUUACAAUGCUUUCACCGAGCUCACCACCUUGACAAGAGUCAACUUGUUCCCGGAACCUGCGCAUGCCCUCUGCUCCUUCAUAGCAGUCGCGUCUUAAUGCUCCACAAGUCACCCACUUAUUGUCCAAGGUAAAUGUCUUCUAGCUCAUUGAUCUUUAGCAUGGGGGCAAUAUCCAUGAAAGUCAAUCCUGCAUUUGUCUUCAUACUCAUCAUAGACUCUUCAUUGGCUAUACACUUGUCCACUUAUAUCCAGCCAUCAUAUUGGCUCUAGGGCUGGGCUCUUUUCAUGGCCCUCACACCUUCUCGUGAGGUGUCUCCGCUCGUCGUCAUGCGAUAGUCUGAAUCUGGGCUAAUAUUAUAGCCCUCACACCGUCCAUCCGAGGUGUCUCCGUUCAUCGUCAUGCGGCUUCAUGUCCCUCACACCUUCUCCGAAGGUGUCUUCGCCCGUUGUCAUGGGGCAGUCUGAUCUUGGGCUCAUAUCAUGGCCCUCACACCUUCUGUCUGAGGUGUCUCCGCCUAUCGUUAUGAGACGGCCUGAACAUGGACUCAUAUCAAGGUCCUCACACCUUCUGUCCAAGGUAUCUCCGCCUGUCGUCAUGAGACGGUCUGAACAUGGACCCAUAUCAUGGUCCUAACACCUUUCGUCUGAGGUGUCUCCGCCUGUUGUCAUGAGACGGUCUGAAUCUGGGCUCAUAUUAUAGCCCUCACACCUUCCAUCCGAAGUGUCUCCGCUCAUCGUGGAGCGGUCUGAAUCUAGGUUCAUAUCAUGGCCCACAAACCUUCCUCUAAGGUGUCUCUGCCCGUUGUCAUGGGACAGUCUGAUCUUGGACCCAUAUCAUGGUCCUCACACCUUCUGUCUAAGGUGUCUCUGCCUGUUGUCAUGAGACGGCCACAUCCUCCUUCAUCGGGGAUGUCUCUAGUGGCUCUAAGAUUCUCUACCACCAUGUGGACUUGGGAGAGAUUACUGCCACUGAUUACAUAGAAAGAUAAAGUUGUGGCAUACUCCUCGCAAUCCUCCACCUCGAUUUCUAUGUCUGGAGCUUCUACGCCUUUCUACUUGAUAGCUCCACCUACACCACUCUCUUUAGUGUCUUCGCCUUUCAUCAUAGGCGGUCACCUUUGUCACAGGCGUUUGCACCCCCUCAAUUAGGUGCCUCUGCAACAGCUCAUCUUUCCAUCAUUGCAUGCAUUGGAAAGGUCCUCGCUUGUUGCCUUCAUCAAGAGCACAAGAGAUUUCUUGUUGUAUAACUUUUUCACACCGUCUCUACUCUAAGCUUCAUCUGGGAACUCUUAUUCUCCUUGCACCUACUGUCUCAUUACAGUACCUCGUUGGAUCCUACGGGUACUCCUGCACAAUCUCCGUGUGCUCUCGUGCAAUUCCGGUUCUCUAGAUUUCUCCCUAUUUUUUGCUUUUAUGUUUGACAACAGCUCAUCCUGUCACAACAUUUAUCCAAGUCAAAAUAGGGUGCCAAUCUUUAUCCCCUUGUUGUAUUUCUCUUCCAUUAUCAGGGUCUUCAUUAAUUCUCCCUUCGAGAAAUUACAGUCACCGAAUCUAACUUCUUUGGAGAAAUCACCACUCCAUUAGAUCCUUGAACAUACGGAACCCAACUGUUCCUUUAUGUCGUCAUCUUGCUAGUCUUCAACAGUUUCAUUACAAACUGUUACAUAUACAAAAAUAGUACUGUGUGGAUGAUCCUUCAACUAAGCAAGUUCCCAGGAAAGAUUUGGAGGGGUCACACUGGUCCCGUGAUUAGUACUUAAAAGUGCAUGUUUAUCAAGGUUUUAUAUCAUCAUUUUGCACUUGAAGUAUCAAUAACUCCUUAACUAAAGCAUGUUUUAUAAUAACAAGUUUGAUACUAUAAGAUACCUUAAUUUAUGGUAAAUGCUCAUCUUAUAUGCAGGCCUAUCACAUAAAUAAAAUGAUUGAUUGAUGAGUUUAAGUAUUGAAAGUGAAAGGACAAAGAGAUGGCCAAACUUAGAAAAGAGAUGUCGGUGCAGUCCAAACCAGAACAUUGCUCGGUAAUUGGAUCAUAUUUGGAGCUCUAGAUCUCAGAUUUAGGUCCAUUUUAUAUGGAUGGAAAGGUAAUACAAAGGCCUACAACUUUCAUGAGGAGCCUAAGAUUUAAAAAGGUCGUUUUGAAGUCCAAAUUGAAGGAACAACGAAGAAGUCCGAAGCUGUCCUGCAGCCCAGACACUAUUUAGUGUUCAACCCAUAUCUUGAGUUCUAGAAGUCCAAAUGACCUCAUCUUUUUUUUUUUGGAAAGCUGAGACAAUUUCCUAGAACAUUCCUGAGGAUUCUGGGCAAAUUAUUAUGUUAGAAAUGACGUUUUGUUCAGACAAGAAGAUAAGGAUUGUCACCAAGUCAAGAUGUGGCCACCCACUCAUCAAUUAGUCAACAAAUCAAUAGUUCUAAAUUUUGGCCUAUAAAAGGAGGCACUUACCAUGUAUUGAGGCAUCUUGGUUUCCAGAUCAAGAUCAUGCUCUUGCUUUCUCUCUUUGUAUUGCUUAUGUCUUGCUUUCAUUAAUAUCAAGUUUAUGCACUUCAUUUUCUUUCCUUUACUUAGUUAACUUCUUUCUCAUUUAUGUUCUUAUCUUGUUCAUUUAUGUUUCUUUCUUUCAUUAUGUUCAGCUAAGUUAAUUAUGUCAAGGUGAAAAGGGUACACUAAUGGUGUAAGAAUAAGUAUAAUAUAAACUUAACAUGGACCUUAACGUUGGAUACUAACAUGUUUUAUAUUUGUUAUCUUGUUCACUUUUAAUACUUUGCUUGUUAAAUGGUUAAUCUAGAUUUAUGUUAUAUAACAUUUGGUACAACAAAUACUUGGUACUUUCAUAGCCCAUACUGUAUGGUAUAACCGACACCUGAGCUAUAAAAGGAACUUGAUUUGUUGUUAACAUAAGUUAUAAUCAUGAAUGCCUGCCAACAUUUACAAGUAUUAGCUUUAUUCGAAUAAGAUAACUAAUGUAAUCAUGUUAACAAUUUAUAAUCUGAUUGGAACCUCCUUUAUGUGUGGUUUCCAAUUGAGUAAUAAGAGUUUAUACUAUACUUGUUUGAAAUACCAUUAGUGGAUCCUCUAACCUUGACAUUUGUUGUUGUUAUUGUUUAAUCCUUACGUUAAUCUUUCAUCUCAAAGUUCUCAUUAAUUUCUUCAUCUUCUGCUUUUAUUAUUAUUAUUAUUAUUAUUAUUAUUAUUAUUAUUUACAUUCUGUUUAUAUUAUAUAAUAUAUAUCUUUGAUCUUUUCAUAAACUCAGUAUAUAGGCUGGAAACCUGUGACCCGAUCUUUUAGAUUAUUCUCAGGUAUAACAACGCCACGUACUAAGUAUUAUAAUUAUUAUUGUUGUUAUUAUUGUUGUUGUUGUUAUUGUUGUUGUAUUGUUAUUUAUAAUUUAUACAAUUAAUCUCUAUGUGGUUCGACCCCGGUUUUGCCGGGUUAUUUAUUACUUCGACACUCCUGCACUUGGGAAAAGACAUCAAGCUUUAGGUCGUGUCAAGUUUUUGGCGCCGUUGCCGGGGAGGUAAAUUCUUGUAUAAAUUAUAAUUUUUAUUUCUUUUUAUUUUUUUCAUUUUAUUUAAUUUUGUUUCUUUUCUUUUCUUGCUUUUAUUCUCUUUUUACACGUGCAUGAGAGUUUGGUCACGUAUAUUAAGUGGUCGACUUUGUAGGGUAUCCUCAUCAUUUUUAGAAAAUAUGGCUGAAGAAGAUAAUCAAUCGCUUCAUAAUGAGAAUAAUGAGAAUAACCGUAUGAGAACACUUAGAAAUCACAUGAAUCCCACAAGAACAAGUGCACCCUCAUGCAUAGUUUUCCCUUUCCUUUCCUGGUAUGAUACAAGCAUGAGGCUAGUAGAAUGCAAGGACAAGUGUCUAAAAAACUACAAUUGCACGGCAUAUGCAAAUUCAAAUAUCACAGGAGAAGGCAGUGGCUGCAUACUCUGGUUCGGUGAAUUGGCUGAUAUGAGAGAGUUUAGUUAUGGGGGCCAAGACCUCUACAUAAGGAUGCCACCACCUUUGAAAACAGGUAUUUUUCAAUAUUCUUCCCAUGAUUCUCAAGCAGGGUAUUUUUUUUCACUCUUUCUCUCUGUUUCUUUGUUUUUUUUUUUGAAAUGAGGAAGUUGUAUGUUCCUUGAAUGUUUUCCUAACUUCGUGUCCUCAUUUCCUCAUUCUAUUUACAAAUAAAACAGAACUCCUUUCUGUGUUUAUUGUGGGUUUUCAGAUCAGGCGACGUCAAACACAAAUUCUGGUAAGAAGAAGCUUUCAGGAAUCAUACUCGGUUCCACACUCCUUGCUGGAGUGCUUAUGGUAGGACUAAUCUUCUAUAUAUGGAGAAAGAAGCAGAAAAAGCAAGGUAGUGUACUGUGGACAAUUCUUCUUAUUCCAGAACAUGGACCUUGUUGAUAUAUAUAGUAUGCAUGGUAGAAUUUUAUGUUAGUCAUCGAUAACAAAAUGAAGCAUUUGUUAGAUCAUUGCUGACAACUGAUCAAUCUUCUGCUAUUCAGAAAUAGAGGAAGACAUGGAGUUGCCAUCGUUUCAUUUGGCCACCAUAGUGAAAGCAACGGAUAACUUUUCAAGCAACAACAAGUUGGGACAAGGUGGUUUUGGACCGGUAUAUAAGGUAUAUAACAACGUGCUUCAAAGCUGAGAGAUCAUCUACUAUGAGAUAUUCUAACUUCAGUAAAUAACGAUUCCCAGGGUACAUUGAUUGAUGGGCAAGAAAUAGCAGUGAAAAGACUCUCAAAAAGUUCUCGGCAAGGAUUGACAGAGUUCAAGAAUGAAGUUAUCUUGAUAGCUAAGCUUCAGCACAGAAAUCUUGUUAAACUUCUUGGCUGUUGCAUUCAAGGAGAUGAAGUAAUGUUGAUCUAUGAAUUCAUGCCCAACAAAAGCCUAGAUUGUUUUAUUUUCGGUUUGUACCCCAUGAACUGGUUAGAGUUUCUUGCAGUUAGAUUGCUUGUUCUAUGAUGUUUCAUUUAUACAUCAGAAUAACAUAACAUUAUGAUAAAUUGAUUAGAUCAAACAAGAAACAAAUUCCUGGACUGGCAGAGACGUAACCUCAUUAUCGGUGGCAUUGCUAGAGGACUACUUUAUCUUCAUCAAGACUCUAGACUAAGGAUUAUCCAUAGAGAUCUCAAAGCCAGCAACAUAUUAUUAGAUAAGGAUAUGAACCCCAAAAUUUCAGAUUUUGGAAUGGCUAGACUGUUUGGAGGAGACCAAAUUGAAGCAAACACAAAUAAAGUGGUCGGAACAUAGUAAGUACACUCUACACCUAUUUUGUUACAAUGUAUAAUCUCCGCACAUUUAAACUUUUUCUGAAAAUGUUUUUCCGCAGUGGAUACAUGUCCCCUGAGUACGUUGUUGAUGGGCGUUUCUCACUGAAAUCCGACGUCUUCAGCUUCGGUGGUUUAGUCUUGGAGAUAAUAAGUGGGAAGAAAAAUAGAGGAUUCUCCCACCCGGAUCAUUGCUAUAAUCUUCUUGGACAUGUAAGGAUAAAAUUAAACAUGUUAAUUUAAUUUAAUUAUGUAUUAACAAUUUUUCUCAUGACAAGUUUUUUGUUUUCCAGGCAUGGAAACUGUGGACGGAAGAGAGGGCAUUGGAGCUUCUUGAAAAUAUGUCAGAUCGCCCGUAUUCUGUAUCUGAAGUAUUGAGAUGCAUUCAUGUGGGUCUGCUAUGCUAUGGUUUUGAUGUUGGGCAGUGAGAAUUCAUUGCCUGACCCAAAGCAACCUGGUUUUUUCACGGAAAGGAAUAUGCCCGCAGUGGAGUACUCUUCAUCAGGAAAUCAUGAAUCAUCAUCUAUAAAUGACCUAACUAUUUCAGAGCUAGAUGCACUGUAGAAGAUUGGCUCUGAUGGUUAAAAGGAAGAGCAUAUAUAUAUAUAUAUAUAUAUAUAUAUAUUUCUAGCCAAAUCCAAGGCAUAUAACAGAAGUUAAAUAUUUUCUGCUAUAAUUAUGUUGAUGUAUUAUUUUUACCUGUCUACAAGUCCUCUGCAAGUACUGUUGCGAAUACAGAUAUACAGAAUGCUUGAGGAUUCACAUCUCUGGACUGCACAAUAUCUGUACUUGUUUGCUUCGAGCCAACGAAUUUAAUGCACGGAUCUGGGUUCAAGAUCUAUAUAUGCUAGAGCCUCACUGGCUUCUAACCCAAAAAGAAUCCAUUAGAACUUCUUACUAGAUUUAUAUGUACAAUUCAAUAAUUCUUUUGUAUUGAAAAGUUUUAUAUUAUAUUUUUCUCUCACAUUUUAUUUAAAUCACUCAUUGAUUAUAAUGUUGUUGACUUUCUUUGUUAGAUUCUAAUGUAAUUUAAUUUUUUGGCUAGAAUUGUCAAUAUAUAAUUAGUAAAAAAAAAAUUACAUACAAUUUAAACAAUCCAAAUUUAUAAUUCAAAUUUACAUUAUAUUUUUCAUGACAUGUUAAAAAAAUAUAUUUGUAACAACCAUACAAGGAACUAUAGUUUUUCCUUGAUUGAUUUCAUAGCACCUUAAACUUAGCCUUGACCUAACCCUUUUAGGGAUAAAUAUUAUAGGUACGAGUACCUUGAUGAUACUUAGCCUUGACCUAACAAAUUUUCAUAUCAUAAUUCCAAAAUUUUGAAAAUAAAAAUAAAAUGCAAAAACUAAAAUAGAAAAUCAAAAAUAAAAUGAUAUCAAAAAACCCUUCUAACUUUUCUUUUUUAUGUAAGGGUUGAAUUAUAUUAACUCAAUUAACCCAUCUUUCUAAAUUAAGUUAUAUAUUUUUUAAUAAUUUAUGUAUUUUAUCUCAAAUAGAUAAAACAUUAAAAAUAGAAGAGUUAUUAUGGAUCCCACAAAAUAAUAGCUGUAAAGCAUAUAUAGCUUGAUAUUAUGACAAAAAGAUGUCAUAUUGACGUUUUAAUUAACUUAUUAUGUUAUAAUGGAGGAACCUUUACAAAAUAAAAUAAAGAGAAGAGGGAUUUAAUCAAUAUUAAAAUAUAAAAAGAGUAGUUGCUAUAAAAAUAAAUAAAUUGAAGAGUACAAAGAUGAAAUAUGAGUGGAACCUGCUAUUUAAUAUGAAUUUUAUGGUUUCGUCCAAACUGGCCACAACAAUCAUAUGGUUUCGUUCAAAGUUCAAACUCGUGUAUGGAUGGGCUUCAAAUGAAAGCCUCUUAUGGAUUUUGGAAAAAGAAUAAUUUAUACUAGGAAAUAGGCCAAGAAAUCAAGGAUGGAAAAACGAGAGAGAAGAAAUCUAUGACAUAGUAUACAACUUGGAGAAAUAUUAUCAAAAUUAAAGGUUCAAGAUGUUGAUAGAAUCGGUAUUUAUUAUAGACGUGAAAAAAUACGAUUAAUGUUUGUUUUUAGUUUAAUUUAGUCUUUGCUUUGUUUUAUUUUGCAUGUUUUAGGGCUUUAGUUGUAUUUGUAUGCUUUUUUUUUGUCAUUAAAGGACUGCUAAAAAAAAAAAUAUUGUAAUUGGAAAAACAUCUAUCUGUAGAUGCAAAACGAUAGAAAUAUCUAUGAUAGUUUGCCAUCUUGAAAAAUGGCAAGUAAUGUGAUCAAUAUGCUACGGCAAUUAUGUAAAGCAAAGAGAAAGAAAUUACACUUAAUUUGUUUUUUGUAAAAAAAAAAAAAAAAAAAAACCUUUGAAUGACAUUACACUUUAAACUUUUAAAAAGUCUUUUAUGAAAAAACUUAUAUAUAUAAAAAAACACCCUUCACCAAAUUUGUCCAAGGCGGGUUAAGGGUAAGCUUCCACCAACCUUUGCUAGCAUUUAAUAAUUGCAAGAAAAUGUUCCCUCUUGACUUUGCCGUCCCGCUGGGGACGUAACAUUGUACUAAGAAUUUAUCAGGAUCCAAUGUAUCCAAAGCUCGAAGGUCAUGGGAAGCUGAAACAUUGAUGAUAUGACCCCACGUAUCAUUAUGAUGAUGAACAAGAACUUCCAAUAGCAGACCACUGUUUUGAGCUGCAUGGGAUCAAUCCAAUCAAGCUAGGUGUAAUAUUAUGGUGCCAUUUUGCUUGUAAAUCCUGUUCUAGCCGGGAAAGUGGGUAUGUCCUGUACUAUUUUAAAAAACAAAAUAAGGUGAAGCGAAUUUUAUCCCUAAGAGGAGGAUCUCGAAUCAUUUUGAAUUUGUUGUUCAAAUUUCAAUUAAGAUAUCCUAGGUUUACCCGUUUUCAAAUAAUAUUUUAGCGAUUCAAAAUAAGGUUGUUGAAAGUUACAUCAAUGGAGAGAGGGAUGUUAAGGCUAGGGUUGACGCAAUGAACGGUGAGAGUCGUUCAAGGAGUUGAACUUCAAACAUUUUACCUGAUGCUGCACACAUUUAUAGCUUAUGUACGCUGCCCAUAUGAGAGUCCCAAAUUGGACCCAUUCGUAGCGCUGUUUCUCUGUCAUUCGUCGACUGUAGUUAUCAAUGAACUAGCAAGCUUUAUUAGAGUUCUUGCAUGGCUGACAACAGAUAAGCAAGUUAGGCUCUUAAUGUUGGAUGUGUUUUUGGAUUUCUUGGGCUUUAGCCUAGCUGUUAAUGGCAUGUCUUUGUCAGGUGCCCUACUCAUGCGUAAUUUGGAGACCAUAUGAUAAUAUUUCCAGCAAUUUAUAGAAACUAGCUCCAAGUUCUCGAUCCGUUUUCAUAUUGACAAAGAGAAUGGCCGCACAAGUGCUAAGGGCUCAAGGUUAUCUUUCGUCCUUAAUUUGAUUCCCGACGGGGUUUGCUCACCUUUUUCUGAACACACUCUUCCUGACCUUCCAAUGGUGAACAAGUCAAAUCUUUGAUGGAGAUUUUAGCGAUUAAAUAAGGUUGUUGAAAGUUACAUGAAUGGAGAGAGGGAUGUUAAGGCUAGGGUUGACGCAAUGAACGGUGAGGAUUAGAUAAGGAGAAUGUGGAUGACUUGUGUUCUCUAGUCAAUUGAGGGUUGACAGGUGCAACGAAGGGUAUUAAACGGCAGCACUUAGGCUAUAGAGAAGAAGACUUGGUCCAAGAUCAUGCUAGAUCUUUACAACUUGACAGAAUCAGUCCAUUCCAAAUUCAAGUUUGAUGUUUGUUUUAUUUAUAGGACCAGGAAUAAAUCAUGAUAUUCUUAAAGCAUAACCAAAUUUAAAUACAUACCUACUGUUAUGUUUUUAUAUAUAUAUAUAUAUAAACAUAACAGUAGGUUUAGAUUGACUUUAAAUGAUAAAUAACAUUUUGUAGUUUUAUACCGACGGAAAAUACUCCGUCGGCGAUAUAGUGUAUGACCGACGAUCCAUAUCUGUCGGUAAAGUUGUCGGUGAGUGUUUGAAAUACCGACCGAAUAUAUCCAUCUGUAAAUUCGUCGGUACGUUUAGCAGCUACUGUCAAAUGCCGACGGAUUAAUUCUGUCAGUAACGCUGUCGGUGAGUAUGAAAUACCAACCAAAUGUAUCCGUCUGGAUAUUCAUUGGUGAUGGUGGCAGCUACUGUCAAAUGCCGACGGAUUUAGUCCGUCGGUAAAUCCCUUUGUAAUUGUUUUUUUUUUAAUUUUGUUUUUUAAAAAUUAUUUAGAAUACAUAAUAUAAAAUAAUAUAAAUUAAUGGUAAUAAAAACCAAUUAUGGAAAUAAAAUUUAUAUUAAGCAUCAAAAACAAAAAAUCAAAGUUAAAUAAUAUUCAUUACAAAAUGAAUGUGUUUCAAAAAAACAUUAAACGAAAUUUUAAAUGUAAAUAAUGUUUAUUAAAAAUUAAUAUAAAAGGUGGAGCUGGAGGAGGAGGAGGAGGCUGGCGGUCAUACGGCCAAAAAGGAUUAGGCGCACAUGUUCCACCUUGUGCCAUGUUCAUGACCAUUUCACGAAGCUCUUCAUAGGCCGCUCUUUGUUGUUCAGACUCCGCUCUGUGUUGCUCUUUGAGUUGUUCGUACACCACUCUUUGUUGUUCUUUGAGUUGUGUGUAUGCCUCUGAUAGGUGGUCAUACUUUUCGGUGAGCUGAGCCGUGUGUUGCUGUAAGGCCACAAACUACUUAGAUUGGGAGCUCCUGACGGUUGAAGCACCACUGGCCUACCGCAAGUUGUCGGUCGUAGUGUUGGAGAGCCCAUAAACCUGAUUUUUAUCAAGUCCACCUAACGAUCCAGCCUCCAUCCACAAAUCCAGAUCGAAUUCUGAAUGGGUCAAAGGAUCGUCCCCGUAUCUCUCCCUCAACCGCUUAUUAUAGGUGUCCUGAAAAUAAAAAAAGUAAUCAUCAUAUUCAAUUCAAUAAACAUAAUAAUAACUUACAAAAUAAAAUGGUUGAACAAACAUACCAUAAAAUGUUGAGCAUGGCUGUCAACGAGCUGUUGCGCCCCCUUUUGGCGGUCUUGACUCCGCACGUGCAUCUCCACAAACAGCUCCAUCGGGCUCGGCUCACGUCCAAGACACGUAGCCUAUAAUGAAAAAAAAUUAUUAACAGCAAAUUAAUUGAAUGAUAUAUUUCAUUUAAAUUAAUCUUACCAUUCGUUUCGUAUGUGCAACAAACGGAACGGAGUCGCCGGUGUGCGUUGUCACCGAGCCAUGAAUUGGCCGAUUCGGGUUGCCAGCACCGGACUGUGAGCGUCGUGUGAACCGCUCAGACAUCACGUGCUGAAGAUAGUGCGGCCAUAUAUCUUCCUGGAUGUAUAUCGGUUUGAAAUCCCUCCAAACCGCAACAUCGUUCCAGCCUUGGAACCCCUUCUUCCUCGCAUUGUUUUUUGCUUUUUUUUUAGCUUCGUACCAAAAAUCACGCAACCUACUUCACGCAAGCAAAAAUUACAUUUCGAAACAUAAAUUUUUUUGUAAAAAAAAAAAGUUGUAUUGUUUUCGAUGUUACCUAGUUGCCGCGUGAUUUUCCCAAACCCUCCUCACAACAGUGUUAUGUUCAUCGUCCCAGCAGAAUCGGUUCUGUGUAUAAAAAAUUAAUUUUUUAAAAUGUUAAUAAUUUAUUUACAAUUAUAUUAAGAAUUUAUUAGAAAUAAACUGAAAAUUAUAUAUUAACACGAACCUGAAAUCUAGAAAACCAUGCAUUGAUUUGAGGCAUUCAUUCAGGAUGCCUCGAUAUCUAACUCUAUUGAAACAAUGGAAUCUCCAUCGACGAUUUAAACGCCGAUGAUAUUACUCGGGCAGCCUCAAUGUUUGUGAACUUGAAAAGAAAUGAAAUUAAGGAAAUAGUGACUAUUUCAUAAAUUAUGUUUUAAAUUUGUUUAAAAAAACAACACAAAAACCUUAACAAACCUACAUUGAAAGAUCGUCUUUCCAUUGUGCCUCGUACUUGUGGGUAAAUUGAUUCCGCUACGAAGGCACGCCGCUUAUGCGCUGUGAAACAGCGCUGGAAGAGGCAGCAUCGAUUGACGGCGCAGGUGGUGUAGGUGCCUCUUCUUGAGAGGCACCUAAGGAAAUAUCAUCCUCGCUGCUAGACGAACUUGAUUCGACCGGACGUGAACGACCAGCCCUGGUUUUCAUUUUGCGCAUCUACUCAAUUUUAUAUACAUAAUUAUAUAAUUAAAUGUAAAUGUUAAAAAAAAUUCGACAGCACCUCCCCUAUACUGGAUACUACCCAAAUCCACAAACUUACAAAUAUUAACAAUAGCCACAACCAAUUGACCCAAUCUAUUGACCCAAUCUAUACUAAUUAUUUUAACAUAUUCAAUUACUAAUCCUAAGGUAAAUUCAACAUUAACAAUUACAAUUCAACAAAUUAUUCAAUAAUUAUGCCAAUACAACAAAACAAUAAAUUCAAAAUAAAUAGAAACAAUUAAACACAAAUCAUGCAAUAAUAGAGUAAAAUUAAUAAUUCUUCCAACAUAUUCAAUUACUAAUUCUAAGGUAAAUUCAACAUUAACAAUAUUAAUUCAACAAAUUAUUCUAUAAUUAUGCCAAUACAACAAUAAAAUAUAUUCAAUAAAUGAAAAAAGAAUUAUAGCCUAACAAUUAAAAUCAAUGGAAACAAUUAAACACAAAUCAUGCAAUAAUAUAGAAAAAUUACUAAUUAUUCCAACAUAUCCAAUUACUAAUUCUAAGGUAAAUUCAACAUUAACAACAAAUAAUCAACAAAUUAACUAAUAACAAUUAUGCCAAUACAACAAUAAAAUAUAUUCAAUAAAUUAAAAAAAAAUUAUAAACUAACAAUUAAAAACAAUGGAAAUAAUUAAACACAAAUCAUGCAAUAAUAUAGUAAAAUUAAUAAUUAUUCCAACAUAUGCAAUUACUAAUUCUAAGGUAAAUUCAACAUUAACAACAAAUAUUCAACAAAUUAACUAAUAACAAUUAUGCCAAUACAACAAUAAAAUAUAUUCAAUAAAUUAAAAAAAAACUAUAGACUUUAGGGAAGAAAUAUGCAUACCUUAAUAAUUUGUUGAAACAAAAACUUUAUCUACAUUACAAAAAAAUACACCAAAACAAAAAAACAUAAAAAUAAUAAAAUAACGAAAAAUAAAAUAAAAUGAAAUAGGAAAAAACACAUACCUUUUAAUGUGAUGGAGAUUCACAACAAAGCUUGCUAGAGAUUCUAGGUGAAAGACUUGAAGAUUUGAGAGGAAACAAAUCAAAAUUCUAAGGUGAGAAACGGAGGAGAAGAAAAAAAGAACUAAAGGGGCGGACGCAAGAACUUAUAGGGCAGUUUUACCGACGGAAAUAAAAAUUAUUAUUAUUUAAAUUAAAUUCGUCGGUAACGUGUUAAAAAUCCGUCGGCAAUUUUUGAAUUUCGCGGUUCGUCGGUAUGCUGACUCGGUUAGAGGUUCAUUCAAUGCAGACCCUUUGGAAUUCGCACAUUCCGUCAGUAUUUUUGUCGGUAAGAUUUUCCCACCGACAAAUUACUGACGGCCAUAAUUACGUCGGUGAGGUCGUCGGUGAUUGUGGCGUUUCGCGUAAUUAUUGACGAACACUUUGUGAGAUGCCGACGGACUUUAGUCCGUCUAAAGUCCGUCGGUGAAUCCGUCAAUAUGGGCGUCGGUGAUUGUGGCAUUUCGCGUAAUUAUUUUCGAACUCUCUGUGAGAUACCGACGGAUAUAAUUACGUCGGUGAGGUCGUCGAUGAUUGUGGCAUUUCACGUAAUUAUUUUUUAAAUCUAUGUGAGAUGCCGAUGGACGUGAGUCCGUCGGUGUGUGUGUCGGUGAAUCUGUCGGUACGACGUCGGUGAUUGUGGCAUUUCACGUAAUUAUUUUCGAACUCUCUGUGAGAUGCCGACGGAUGUUAUUCCGUCGGUAUGGACGUCGGGAAGUUUGCAUUUUACAGGAAAAGUUGUAUUUGUAUUGCCUAUUUACCUUUCUACAAAAACUUAACUGAUAAACUGUCCAUCGCAUAAAACAAUAACAACAGUGCUUAAGCAAUAAAUAUUUUGUGUUACAAAAUAUAUCAUCCAUAAUCUAAAUUACAUGAAAAAAAAGGGUUUUACAUAGGGCUUCAUUUUGAUAGUUAGUCGGAAUUUUCUUCUUCUUCCUCAUCAAUUGAAUUGUCAUCACCUUCAUCGCAAUCUUUAAUAUGGAUAUCAUCUUCUUCAUUGACAUUUGCUUGUCCGCUAGAGCUCAGAACAACAUUCAACUCCUCUGCAUCAAUAUCAACAAGACUAUCAUCGAAAACAUGAAAAUUUGAAUUUUCUUCCAAUUCAAUCGAAGGAGCAACUCGAUAUGGUUCAACCAACUCACUAACUUGAAAGACUUCAUCUCGCACACUUGUGUCUUCGUUCUCAUCCUGAACAACCUCGACAUGACCCCGUGGUUUUGUUUUUAAAAUGGACAACCAAUUAACUCUUGAUCGAUCCUUUCUAAAUGAAAGGGUGUAUGUGUAAUAAACUUGUUGACAUUGCUUUGCGAAAACAAAGACAUUGUUUAUGUUGCGAAGUCUAGCUUUUGAGUUGAUUUCGACCAGACCAUAGUGUUGUAACCCAUUUUUGGGUCCCCACAUAAAAAAUAAUAAAAUACAAAAAAAUUCAAAAAAUUCAAAAAAAUAUAUUAUCAAAAAAUAUAACAGUGAAAAAAUGCCAGAGCGCCCUAAAAAUGCUCAAAAAUUGAUUGAGGAUGUUCAAAAAUCAAAAAUUAAUUUUUGACAGUAUAUCAUUGACUGAUGAGAGCCCCGAUGAUAAAGAAAAUUCAAUUUGUGGAAGAAAAAUGCAAAAUCAGAAGUUUAUGGACUCAAUUAAAUUUUAUUAAAGGUUUAAUUGCAUUUAUGAAGGUUUUAAUUGCAAAAACAAUUGAUUUUGGAGUUAUUUUGGGCUUUAAUUGGAAGAAAUUAAUUUUCUGGGGUCAAAUUAUAAUUUUCUUUCCCGUUUUUCGCGCAAUAAGACGCCCGCAAUCACCCACUUGUAUCCUCCUUUUUAUCCUUCUGAGUUGAUAGUAGAGGGGCGGCCGACAGUGGCCGCCCCACCACGACACCGCCCCCCUAUUUUUGCCUAUAAAAACAGGGGAGGGGCACCGAGAAAAAAAAAAACAAAGAACAAAAGGGAGAGGGAGACAAACCGAGAUAGAAGAGAAGAGAAGAGAGAGGGCAGAGAAGAAGAAGAAGGAGAAGAAGCAGCAGGGAAGAAAACGAAGAAAAACAGAAGAGAGAGAGAGAGAGAGAGAACCACCGCCGGCCUCCGCCACCGUGCCUACGCCGCCAGCAGCACCGCCACGACGUCACCGCAGGUAAUCUCUCGCCGCCCUGUCGCCUUCUCUGUUUGCUGCCUCCCUCAUUUGCAUGCAGAACAUGAAUAAAUUCACGUUCUGCAGCUGAAGAGGGCUGGUUACUGUGCUUAGGCACAGUAACCAGCCCAUUUGGUAAUGGGCCGGGUUGGCCCAUAUCAAUGGGCUGGGCCGGACCCGGCCCAUUUCAAUUUAUUUUUUUCUCAGAAGUUUUUUACAAUUUUUUUGGCACAUUUUUUUUUAUCAAUUUUGCUUAAUAUCGGUCUGUAUUUUACAUCGUAAAAAUAUAAAUUCGGUAUUAAAAUACUCGGUUUUCAUACGGUACUGUUCACACAACAACAAAAAAUCAAAAAUAUUUGUUUCAGCAUUUUAUAAUUUUUCCACGUAGUUUUUUAUGUCAUUUUGAUUAAUAUCGGGCAGUAUUUUUACAUCGUAAAAAUAUAAAUCCGGUAUUAAAAUACCCGGUUUUCGGCAAAAACUUCAAAAAAUAAAAAAAAUUGAAAAAAGAUAAAAAAAUGUUUUUGUGCAUACGGCCAAGUGUCUCAAAUCUAAAAUAUCAUAUUGUAUUUUUCAUAUGUCAAAAAACAAUAUUUUAGCAUGCAUUUUGGCUUUAAUAACCAGUUUAUUAAAGUCAAGAGAACAUUGGCCAAAAUCUCAAAAACAACAAAUAUUUUAUUUUGUUUGAUUUUAGUAUCAGGGAUUAUGAAUUUAUACGUAAAUCGUAUUCCUGAUAUUAAAAAGAUAUUUUCUUUUGACGGCUUCGAAUAGUUAGUUUUUUACCCGAUAAAGAUAAGGAUCUCCUUACAGGAGGACUUUUCUUAAACCGUAAACGAACCAACAAUUCAAAAACCACAACACGAUUUUAGAUUUUAUCAGACAUUAAAACAAUGCAGCCUACCUUAGGUAGGGCGUAGUUGGGGUGCUAAUACCUUCCCUUUACGCAACCAGUCUCCGUACCCGAUCUCUAAAGACCGAUUAAGGUUCCUAGUAACCAAAACACUAGGUGGCGACUCCCAUUCCAAUUUUUCACUUGUAGAGACAAGAAUUCCUUGUCUCUCCCUUUUUUCCAGGAAUAAAUAUUCCAAUUUUUCCUUGAGGGUGGACGAUCGCCGCGCCGCCGCACACGUGCGACACAUAGUGCGGAUGAACUCUGAUUCCUCUGUCUGUCGUGUCAUACCAAUAGUAUUUGAAUAAAAACACUUUAUUCUGCUCGCUAUGAUAUUGCAGUUCGAUGACCUCAUCUAAUCUACCAUAGUAGUCAACUUCUAACUCACUACUUGUGGAUUCCUUAACACAAACACCGUAGUUGUAUGUCUUUCUUCCUUGCCCGUAUUCUUCAGUUUGGAAAGCAUAUCCAUUGACAAAAUACCCGUUGUAGCACUUAACUUUUCUUUCAGGCCCAAGGCUUAGUGAAGACAAUGACUUAGGCACACUCAUUCCCAUUUGAUAAACCUUAUAUAUAUGUAAUGUACAUCAAUAAACAGUAAAUGAACGAGAAUCUCGUAAUGACAUGCAUACGUACAGUAAUUUUGCAAGUUAGAAUGAGUUUGUGAUAAUGCUUACAUGUGUUCUGAACCAUGUGGCAAAUUGUUCAUCUUCUAAUUGAAAGAUCUGGGAUUCGGUCAGCUGCGAGUUAUUGGAGAGCAAAUAUUAUCGAUGUUGCCUGCAAGUGAUAAUGAGUGUAUGAUAUUACAAUAUAUAAUUAGCAGUAUAUAACUGACAAAGUUUAAUUAGUAUUACACAUAUAUAAACUUACUAAAUAAAUGGUCUCAACUCAUCACAGUUAAAUAGAACAUAGUUGUGUACUUGUUUGAAUUAUAUUUCCGACAAAUAUCUUCCUUUUAUGAUAUUUUUAGGUGUGGGUCGUCCAGUAUUGGAGAAUAUUGACAAGUUUCCACUAGAAGGCACUUCACCGCCAUCAUCAUGCCGUGGAACGCGAUUGAUUCUUAUUCUCAGAUGAAGUUUGAAAUAGUAUGAGAUAAAUGUUGAGAUCUCCUCAACAAUAUAGGCCUCAGAUAUCGAAGCCUUAACAUGCGCCUUGUUCUUAACCUUUUUCUUGAGAUUAAACAAGUACCUGCAUUGAAUUACAAUUCAAGUAUUUUCAAUUAAGAAAAACAUAGAAAAUACUUUUAUAUAUGAAUUCCAUUGCAACUGUAAUAUCUAACCGUUCGAAUGGGUACAUCCAUCUAUACUGGACCGGUCCUCCAGCUUUUGCCUCGAACGGUAGAUGUAUACGGAGAUGCUCCAUUGAGUCAAAAAAUGAAGGAGGAAAUAUCAUCUCAAGUUUGCAUAGUGUCUCGACGAUAUUCAUUUGAAGCCUCUUAAUGUGCUCAACAUUCAACUUGCUGGAGCAUAUAUCUCUGAAGAAAUGACUGAUCUUCGUCAGUGCAUCCCAUAUUCCCUUUGGCAACAAAUCACGAAAAGCUAAUAGGAUGAGUGUUUACAUAAACACGUGGCAGUCAUGACUCUUCAUUCCAUACAAUCUGCAGUCCUUUAUGUUAACAAGCCUUGAUAUGUUCGAUGCAUGUCCAUCCGGAAAACGCAGACUCUUAAGCCUUUUGUAAACUAGCAGUUGUGCGUUUUUCUCUAACACGAAGCUUGCCUUUGCUUUUGCGACUCGUGACUGCUCAUAAACCAACUCCAUAUUUUUACGGUUAUAGUAUAAAUCUAUAUCCAAUCUAGCCUUGAUGUUGUCCUUUGUCUUCCCCUUCACAUCCAUGACUGUGUUGAAAAUAUUCUCAAACACGUUUUUUUCGAUGUGCAUGACGUCAAGGUUAUGGCUAAGAAGAUUGGUCUUCCAAUAAGGAAGCUACCAAAAGAUACUUCGCUUUACCCAGUUAUGGGUCAAACCAAAACCAGGAAACUUUUGCUUACGUAAUUGAAGGCUAAAAACAAUGUCACCGUACUCUGAUACAACAUGGUGCAAUUCUUCACCAGAAAGACGCGGGGAUGCAACAUCUUUUUCAACUCUGCCAACAAAGAAAUCUUUUCUGUUCUCUCUGUACCUAUGAUUAAGUGGAAAGAAGCGACGAUGACAGUAAAAAAUAAAAGCUUUACCUCCGUUUGCUAGUGUGAAUGCCUUGUUGUUUUCCAUGCAGUAUGGACAUGCGAGUUUCCCAUGCGUGCUCCAACCAGAAAGAAUUCCAUAAGCUGGAAAAUCAUUGAUAGUCCACAUCAAAGCCGCCCUCAUAAUGAAAUUUUGUUUCCUCAAUAUAUCAUAAGUCAGAGCUUCGGAGGACCACAACUGCGCCAGCUCAUCAAUCAAUGGUCGAAGACAAACAUCUAUAUUCCGCCCCGAGCUGCUUGGACCGGGUAUGACAGUAGAUAAAAACAUGAACUUCAGCCUCAUACACAUUCCUGGUGGCAAGUUAUAAACUGUGAGUAUGACCGGCCAACAAGAACAGGAAGAAGCAAAUGACCCUACUGGGUUGAAUCCGUCUGUACACAACCCAAGAUGCACAUUCCUUGCCUCAGCUAAAAAGUGAGGAUGCACACUAUUAAAGCAUUUCCACGCUUCACCGUCAGAAGGAUGCACCAUCACACCAUCAACCAUAUCAUGUGCUUGGUGCCAUGUCAUGUGCUCAACAGUCCUUGGUGACAUGAAUAACCUCUGCAGUCUAGGUGUGAUCGGGAAGUAUAUAAGUUUUUUAUAUGCCACUAGAGUCUUUUCCCUGCUAGUUCUGAGUUUGUAACGGGAAUGCCCGCAUGUCAUGCACUCGGUCAUCUCAGCAUUUUCAAGGUAGUAUAACAUGCAGAAGUUAGGGCACAUGUCAAUUUUCUGGUAUCCUAAACCGAGGGGUUUCAUCAUGGACUUCGCAGUAUAGAAGUUCUCUUUCAGCCUGUUCCCUUUAGGUAAAAUGCUUCUCGCCUAUUCAAUAAUUUUGUCAUACCCGGCCUCACUAAACCCGUGAUCUGACUUUAUGGUGAACACCUGUGCCAUGGUCGAUAAUUUACUGUGGUUUGUGCAGCCAUCCCAUAAUGGUUCAUCAAAAUCUUUCAACAAAUCAAAAAAUCUACCUGCAUUUGUAUUAGGUUCUUUUUCUACGAUUGGACAUUGACUGACAUUACCUUGAUUCAUUCUCAUUGCAUCCAUAACCAUAUAUCUGUAAGGAUUAGUUUUGUCAUUUGCCACUUCAUGCACGUUGCUAGCACUAGAAGUUGACCCAAGCAUCGUUUCUCCCAUUCUCCUAUUACUAACAAAUACAUCUCCAUGUGCAUACCAACACUAGUAAUCCUCCAUAAACCCUUUGUGUAAAAGAUGCAUCAUUACAACAUCUAGAUACAGAUACUUUUUAUUUUGACACUUCCUGCAUGGACACCUAAUACCGCCUCCAAUAAAAUUUCUGGGAAUAGAUGUUGCGAAAUUAAUAAAACCCUGAACCCCGUUACAAUAAUCCAUCCUCCGCAAUCCUUGGGGUGAAUCUAGAUACAUCCAUGAACGAUCAUCUAUGACUUCUAUCGAACCUCUAUAAAAUUAUGAUGACAUCAUGUAUUAAUUAACUAAGUUAGGUAAAUAAACUUGCAAAAAUAUUACUUUACCUCGAGAUUAUCCAACAAACCAAUCACAACUUCUCAUAAAUAUUAAAUAUUCAUUAUCAUUUAUCAACGUCCAUACAAAUUAAUAUAUAUAAACUUAUGGAAAUUACCAAACCACAAUACCAUCGAUAAAACUUAAAAUGGACCCAUUAAGCAAGCUAUUAAUUAUUUCAAAACAGCACAUGUAAUUCGGUAAUUCCAUAAAGUUUUAACAAUUUACAAACAAAUACAAUCUUACAAAAUCUAAAACAAACCAUAACAGGUAUAAAAUUAUACAUUCAUAUACUACAAGUUUGUUUGAGAAAUAACAAUAAAAUAUGUACAUCUACUAACAAAAUACAUAUAAUAAAAAAAACAACAAAAUUGACAUUUAAAUGUUAAAAUUUAAAAAGAUAGAAUUACUUACAAAAAUUGAUAAAAUUCGUUAGCAAAUCAGAACACGGAUGUUGUGACCACAAAACUUCAAGAAAUAUAACUUGUUGUGCUGAGAUGAGGAAGAUUUUUGUUUGGGUGCUGGUUGUUUGCAGAUGGGGAGAGUUGGGAUUAGGAAGAAGAAGGAGAAAUAGGAGAGGAGAGGGUCGGCAGGUAGGGAAUUAUAUUAACUUUUUUCCGACGGUUUCACUGACGGAUUAUUUCGUCGAUGAGUCUGCGGCUUUUCUGACGGAAAAAUCGACACGUCACCUUACGGAUCUGCCAUUUCAAAUUCGUCGGUAUUUUUUACGGUGAACCAGUCACGUCACUGUACGGGCCUGCCAUUUUGAAUCUGUCGGUGAUUCCGUCGGAAAAAACCACCCUGCCAAAACUUCCACGUCAGCGACUGAUACUCUCUGAUAAAAGCAUAAGCCAAACUUGUGUAUAUAUAUUCCUCAUUAAUGUAUUACCUUAUAUGUGUAUAUUGAACGUUAUCUACUCAAUGAGUUGUUGAACUCAUCCUCUUGUUAUUUAUUAUUUUUAGGCUUAUAGCUUCGUUAAUAGGUCGCUUUUGUGGACUUUUAGAACAUGCUCUUUGUUGCAAUUAACAUUAUUUCGUUAUGUCUAGUUAGAGCUCUACAAUUACAUAAUUUGUAUUAACUUUAUUAUAAAGACAUUGAUUUACAUUAUUAUCAUUGUUCCGUUACUCUAAAUGAGUUAAUAGGAAGAGAAGUUUGUAUAUAUGAUUAGGUUUGCAUAGGUAAAGAACCUGGUGGAGGCCUUGUCUAUUUGUCGGUCAUGGAUCCAAGGUUCGGGUCAUGACAAUUAACUUCCUAAAAAAAGCAUGAUUUAUAAUCAAUUAUAUAUAAAAAAAGUGUUCUAUUAUUAAGACUCGUCUAAUUAGUUUUCAUUUACUAGAAAAUGCAAACUUUCUUUCUGCACUUUUUACCAGGUGAGGUGCUUCCGGUCUAAUAACCCGAGUUAUAGGUUUAGAAAGUUAACGCUGGUUAAUAAUUUUUUUCUACUUAUUUUCUUUUCUGAUUUCAUUAUUUGACAUUGAUUUUUUUUUAAUAGGCUUUAUAGUUUUUUUUGUUUUUUUUAAAUAAGAUUAUAUUAUUUUCAUAACCUGAACUAUAAAUUUAAUAUAUUAUCCUGGGUUAACUCAAUCCUUUUCCGACCGCGCGGUAGUGCAGGUGGGCAUUAGUGCAAUAGCUAUUUGAAGGUUUUUUUUUUUUUCCAACGGGUAAAGUUAUGUUAGAGUUAGUUUAUACAUUAACUGACGCUAAAUCUUAUAAAUCUUUUCUCGAGAGAUCUUAAAAACAUAUCCUCUGCAUCAAUCCUAGUAUAUUUAAUAAAUUUCAGUAAAUGUUUGUCUUAAAAUUUGGCGCAGAACAAAUAGUUAGAGUUGCUAUUUGAAGUGGUGAAAUGGUAAUAAUAAUAUGACAGACUUCUACUCUUUCUCCGUUGAUCAAUGAAUUAAUUCAUUCAUAAAAAAAGAUAAAUUCAUGUAGGUGCGAUAGAUCUAUGGGUCAACUUCAGUGAGCUGUUAAGGUUUUACUCCCUACCCUCACUUGUACUGCUGUUCAUACCAUAUAAGGCUAUUUCCACUACUCUACAAGCUUGAUAAUAAUGGAGAUCGCUAUGCGUACAGGCCUGAUUAAUUCAUUUACUAGCAUUACAAUGCUUUUGGUUUGCAUCUUCUUACUCUUUUUAUCAGUAGCCUUUGCUGCACAAGUCAGUAUCACUUCCAAUGAAUCCAUUAAAGAUGGCGGGAGCACUCUAGUUUCAGCAAAUGGAACUUUUGAACUGGGUUUUUUUAGCCCAGGAAAUUCAAUGAAUCGAUUUUUGGGAGUAUGGUACAAGAAUGAAGCUCAUAAAGAAGUUAUUUGGGUUGCCAAUAGAGAAAUUCCGCUUAAGGAUCGUUCUGGAUUUCUAAAUUUCACCCAGCAAGGAGUUUUGCUUCUUCUCAACGGAAACAACAAAAUAAUUUGGUCAUCCAACAAAACAACAAAUGUUGAGAGUCCAGUUGUGCAGCUAUUGGAUACAGGAAAUCUAGUUGUGAAAGAUGGGAAGGAUAAUAACUCCAUUUUAUGGCAGAGUUUUGAAUAUCCUUGUGAUACGUUUCUACCAGGAAUGGUGAUCGGAGGGGAUUCACAAACUGGUGUGGAUAGAAACCUGAGAUCAUGGAAGAGCGCAGACGAUCCUGGUCCAGGCCAAUUUUCAUAUGGGAUAGAUCGUCAGGGGUUUCCACAGCUAGUCAUCAGGAAUGGAACUUCGACGCACUGUAGGCUGGGUUCAUGGAAUGGAAUAAGUUUCAACUGGAUUCCUGAUCUGCCUGAUCUGUACUUGAAGUUUGAUUUUAUUUUGAACAAGACUCAUGUAGAUUAUAGUUAUGAAUUCCGGAGACCGGGUUCAUUGUUGACGAGGUUAAUUGUGAAUCAGUCAGGAUUCGUGGAACGCUUUGCACGUUCAAUUCAAGCUAAUGGUUGGACAAGUUCGUAUAAGGUACCAAGAGAUCUCUGUGACAAAUAUUCAGUAUGUGGUGCACAUAUGAUUUGCAAAAUGGUCGAUCAAUCCCACAAUUGUACUUGCUUGGAAGGAUUUGAACCCAAAUCUCUUACAGAUUGGAGUGAAGGGUGUGCUAGAAGGAGUCCAUUGAAUUGCACACAGGACAUCUUUCACAAUUUUAUAGGGCUUAAGUUGCCGGAUACAUCCCUUUCCUGGUAUGAUACAAGCAUGAGUCUAGUAGAAUGCAAGGACAAGUGUCUAAAAAACUGCAGUUGCACGGCAUAUGCAAAUUCAAAUAUCACAGGAGAAGGCAGUGGCUGCAUACUCUGGUUUGGUGAAUUGGUUGAUAUCAGAGAGUUCAGUCCAGGGGGCCAAGACCUCUACAUAAGGAUGCCACCACCUUUGAAAACAGGUAUUUAUCAAUAUUCUUCCCAUGAUUCUCAAGCAGGGUAUUUUUUUCACUCUUUCUCUCUGUUUCUUUUUUUCUUUUUCUUUUUUUGAAAUGAGGAAGUUGUAUGUUCCUUAAAUGUUUUCCUAACUUCGUGUCCUCAUUUCCUCAUUCUAUUUACAAAUAAAACAGAACUCCUUUCUGUGUUUAUUGUGGGUUUUCAGAUCAGACGACGUCCAACACAAAUUCUGGUAAGAAGAAGCUUUUAGGAAUCAUACUCGGUUCCACACUCCUUGCUGGAGUGCUUACGGUAGGACUAACCUUCUAUAUAUGGAGAAAGAAGCAGAGAAAGCAAGGUAGUGUACUUUGGACAAUUCUUCUUAUUCCAGAACAUGGACCUUGUUGAUAUAUAUAGUAUACAUGGUAGAUUACUAAUAUUGUAGAAUUUUAUGUUAGUCAUCGAUAACAAAAUGAAGCAUUUGUUAGAUCAUGUUGUUAGUCAAAUUAGCUUUGAUAAGGAGAAGCUGUUCGUUUAUCAAUCUUCUGCUAUUCAGAAAUAGAGGAAGACAUGGAGUUACCAUCGUUUCAUUUGGCCACCAUAGUGAAAGCAACGGAUAACUUUUCAAGCAACAACAAGUUGGGACAAGGUGGUUUUGGACCGGUAUAUAAGGUAUAUAACAACGUGCUUCAAAGCUGAGAGAUCAUCUACUAUGAGAUAUUCUAACUUCAGUAAAUAACGAUUCGCAGGGUACAUUGAUUGAUGGGCAAGAAAUAGCAGUGAAAAGACUUUCAAAAAGUUCUCGGCAAGGAUUGACAGAGUUCAAGAAUGAAGUUAUCUUGAUAGCUAAGCUUCAGCACAGAAAUCUUGUUAAACUUCUUGGCUGUUGCAUUCAAGGAGAUGAAGUCAUGUUGAUCUAUGAAUUCAUGCCCAACAAAAGCUUAGAUUAUUUUAUUUUCGGUUUGUACCCCAUGAACUGGUUAGAGUUUCUUGCAGUUAGAUUGCUUGUUCUAUGAUGUUUCAUUUAUACAUCAGAAUAACAUAACAUUAUGAUAAAUUGAUUAGAUCAAACAAGAAACAAAUUCCUGGACUGGCAGAGACGUAACCUCAUUAUCGGUGGCAUUGCUAGAGGACUACUUUAUCUUCAUCAAGACUCUAGACUAAGGAUUAUCCAUAGAGAUCUCAAAGCCAGCAACAUAUUAUUAGAUAAGGAUAUGCACCCCAAAAUUUCAGAUUUCGGAAUGGCUAGACUGUUUGGAGGAGACCAAAUUGAAGCAGACACAAAUAAAGUGGUCGGAACAUAGUAAGUACACUCUACACCUAUUUUGUUACAUUUAAACUUUUUCUGAUAAUGUUUUUCCGCAGUGGAUACAUGCCCCCUGAGUACGUUGUUGAUGGGCGUUUCUCACUGAAAUCCGACGUCUUCAGCUUCGGUGUUUUAGUCUUGGAGAUAAUAAGUGGGAAGAAAAAUAGAGGAUUCUCCCACCCGGAUCACUGCCAUAAUCUUCUUGGACAUGUAAGGAUAAAAUUAAACAUGUUAAUUUAAUUUAAUUAUGUAUUAACAAUUUUUAUCAUAACAAGUUUUUGUUUUCAAGGCAUGGAAACUGUGGACGGAAGAGAGGGCAUUGGAGCUUCUUGACAAUAUGUCAGAUCGCCCGUAUUCUGUAUCUGAAGUAUUGAGAUGCAUUCAUGUGGGUCUGCUAUGCGUGCAACAAAAGCCGGAAGACAGACCAAAUAUGUCAUCUGUGGUUUUGAUGUUGGGCAGUGAGAAUUCAUUGCCUGACCCAAAGCAACCUGGUUUUUUCACGGAAAGGAAUAUGCCCGCAGUGGACUCUUCAUCAGGAAAUCAUGAAUCAUCGUCUAUAAAUGACCUAACUAUUUCAGAGCUAGAUGCACGGUAGAAGAUUGGCUCUGAUGGUUAAAAGGAAGAGCUAUAUAUAUAUAUAUAUAUGUAUGUAUAUUCUAGCCAAAUCCAAGGCAUAUAACAGAAAUUAAAUAUUUUCUGCUAUAAUUAUGUUGAUGUAUUAUUUUUACCUGUCUACAAGUCCUCUGCAAGUACUAGUGCGAAUACAGAUAGACAGAAUGCUUGAGGAUUCACAUCUCUGGACUGCACAAUAUCUGUACUUGUUUGCUUCGAGCCGUCGAAUUUAAUGCACGGAUCUGGGUUCAAGAUCUAUAUAUGCUAGAGCCUCACUGGCUUCUAACCCAAAAAGAAUCCAUUAGAAUUGUCAAUAUAUAAUUAGUAAAAAAAAAUUACAUACAAUUUAAACAAUCCAAAUUUAUAAUUCAAAUUUACAUUAUAUUUUUCAUAACAUGUUAAAAAAAUAUAUUUUUAACAACCAUACAAGGAGCUAUAGUCUUUCCUUGAUUGAUUUCAUAGCACCUUAAACUUAGCCUUGACCUAACCCUUUUAGGGAUAAAUAUUAUAGGUACGAGUACCUUGAUGAUACUUAGCCUUUGUAGGGGAAUCCGACCGGUGAUGUUUUGAUAUUUGCUCAUAGUAGGCUAAGCACACUAACACAAUAUUUAACGUGGUUCAACAAACCGCCUACAUCCACGGGAGAAACCAUUUGAUUAUAUAGGGAGAGAACAAGAUUUACAACAGUAGAGGAGGAGGAAUCAUCCCCUCUUUGGCAACUCUCAACCUCACUCUAUUUGAUGUUGGGCAGUGAGAAUUCAUUGCCUGACCCAAAGCAACCUGGUUUUUUCACGGAAAGGAAUAUGCCCGCAGUGGACUCUUCAUCAGGAAAUCAUGAAUCAUCGUCUAUAAAUGACCUAACUAUUUCAGAGCUAGAUGCACGGUAGAAGAUUGGCUCUGAUGGUUAAAAGGAAGAGCUAUAUAUAUAUAUAUAUGUAUGUAUAUUCUAGCCAAAUCCAAGGCAUAUAACAGAAAUUAUAUAUUUUCUGCUAUAAUUAUGUUGAUGUAUUAUUUUUACCUGUCUACAAGUCCUCUGCAAGUACUGGUGCGAAUACAGAUACACAGAAUAAUGCUUGAGGAUUCACAUCUCUGGACUGCACAAUAUCUGUACUUGUUUGCUUCGAGCCAACGAAUUUAAUGCACGGAUCUGGGUUCAAGAUCUAUAUAUGCUAGAGGCUCACUGGCUUCUAACCAAAAAGAAUCCAUUAGAACUUUGGAUAGAUUUAUGUAUUUCCUACAAUUCAGUAAUUGUUUUAUAUUGAAAAAUUUUAUUCUGAGUCUAUUUAUUUUUUUAUGUUAUUAAUUUAUUGAUUUAUAUUAUCUUUUUCUCUUACAUUUUAUUUAAAUCACUCAUUAAUUAUAAUGUUGUUGACUUUCUUCGUUAGAUUUUAAUGUAAUUUAAUUUUUUGGCUAGAAUUGUGAAUAUAUAAUUAGUAAAAAAAAAUUACAUACAAUUUAAACAAUCCAAAUUUAUAAUUCAAAUUUACAUUAUAUUUUUCAUGACAUAUUAAAAAAAUAUAUUUUUAACAACCAUACAAGAAACUAUAGUCUUUCUUGAUGGAUUUCAUAGCACCUUAAACUUAGCCUUGACCUAACCCUUUUAGGGAUAAAUAUUAUAGGUACGAGUACCUUGUUGAUACUUAGCCUUGACCUAACAAAUUUUCAUAUCAUAAUUUCAAAAAUUUGAAAAUAGAAAUAAAAUGCAAAAACUAAAAUACAAAAUCAAAAAUAAAAUGAUAUCAAAAAACCCUUCUAACUUUUCUUUUUUAUGUAAGGGUUGAAUUAUAUUAACUCAAUUAACCCAUCUUUCUAAAUUAAGUUAUAUAUUUUUUAAUAAUUUAUGUAUUUUAUCUCAAAUAGAUAAAACAUUAAAAAUAGAAGAGUUAUUAUGGAUCCCACAAAAUAAUAGUUGUAAAGCAUAUAUAGCUUGAUAUUAUGACAAAAAGAUGUCAUAUUGACGUUUUAAUUAACUUAUUAUGUUAUAAUGGAGGAACCUUUACAAAAUAAAAUAAAGACAAGAGGGAUUUAAUCAAUAUUAAAAUAUAAAAAGAGUAGUUGCUAUAAAAAUAAAUAAAUUGAAGAGUACAAAGAUGAAAUAUGAGUGGAACAUGCUAUGUAAUAUGAAUUUUAUGGUUUCGUCCAAACUGGCCACAACAAUCAUAUGGUUUCGUUCAAAGUUCAAACUCGUGUAUGGAUGGGCUUCAAAUGAAAGCCUCUAAUGGAUUUUGGAAAAAGAAUAAUUUAUACUAGGAAAGAGGCCAAGAAAUCAAGGAUGGCAAAACGAGAGAGAAGAAAUCUAUGACAUAGUAUACAACUUGGAGAAAUAUUAUCAAAAUUAAAGGUUCAAGAUGUUGAUAGAAUCGGUAUUUAUUAUAGACGUGAAAAAAUACGAUUAAUGUUUGUUUUUAGUUUAAUUUAGUCCUUGCUUUGUUUUAUUUUGCAUGUUUUAGGGCUUUAGUUGUAUUUGUAUGCUUUUUUUUGGUCAUUAAUGGACUGCUAAAAAAAAAAUAUUGUAAUUGGAAAAACAUCUAUCUGUAGAUGCAAAACGAUAGAAAUAUCUAUGAUAGUUUGCCAUCUUGAAAAAUGGCAAGUAAUGUGAUCAAUAUGCUACGGCAAUUAUGUAAAGCAAAGAGAAAGAAAUUACACUUAAUUUGUUUAUUGUAAAAAAAAAAAAAAAAAAAAACCUUUGAAUGACAUUACGAUUAAAAUUACACUUUAAAUUUUUAAAAAGUCUUUUAUGAAAAAACUUAUAUAUAUAAAAAAAACACCCUUCACUAAAUUUGUCCAAGGCGGGUUAAGGGUAAGCUUCCACCAACCCUUGCUAGCAUUUAAUAAUUGCAAGAAAAUGUUCCCUCUUGAUCCAAAAGGGUAGUAGUUGUUGACUUUGCUGUCCCGCUGGGGACCUAACAUUGUACUGAGAAUUUAUUAGGAUCCGAUAUUUCCAAAGCUCGAAGGUCAUGGGAAGCUGAAACAUUGAUGAUAUGAUCCCACGUAUCAUUAUGAUGAUGAACAAGAACUUCCAAUAGCAGACCACUGUUUUGAGCUGCAUGGGAUCAAUCCAAUCAAGCUAGGUGUAAUAUCAUGGUGCCAUUUUGAUUGUAAAUUCUGUUCUAGCCGGAAAAGUGGGUAUGUCCUGUACUAUUUUAAAAAACAAAAUAAGGUGAAGUGAAUUUUAUCCCUAAGAGGAGGAUCUCGAAUCAUUUUGAAUUUCUUGUUCAAAUUUCAAUUAAGAUAUCCUAGGUUUACCCGUUUUCAAAUAAUAUUUUAGCGAUUCAAAAUAAGGUUGUCGAAAGUUACUCAUGCGUAAUUUGGAGACCUUAUGAUCAUAUUUCCAGCAAUUUAUAGAAACUAGCUCCAAGUUCUCAUCCGUUUUCAUAUUGACAAAGAGAAUGGCCGCACAAGUGCUAAGGGCUCAAGGUUAUCUCUUGUCCUUGUUUGAUUCCAGACGGGGUUUACGCACCUAUUUCUGAACAUACUCUUCCUGACCUUCCAAUGGUGAACAAGUCAAAUCUUACAAUAUAUGUUAAAUAUAUUGUGCUAUAGAAAGAUUUUUUUUCCUCUCUGAAAUGAUGGAGAGAGGGAUGUUAAGGCUAGGGUUGACGCAAUGAACGGUGAGGAUUAGAUAAGGAGAAUGUGGAUGACUUGUGUUCUUUAGUCAAUGGAGGGUUGACAUGUGCAACGAAGGGUAUUAAACGGCGGCACUUAGGCUAGUAGAGAAGAAGACUUGGUCCAAGAUCAUGCUAGAUCUUUACAACUUCUCAGAAUCAGUCCAUUCCAAAUUCAAGUUUGAUGUUUGUUUUAUUUAUAGGACCAGGAAUAAAUCAUGAUAUUCUUAAAGCAUAACCAAAUAUAUAUAUAUAUAUAUAUAUAUAUAAGUAGGUUUAGAUUUAAAAUUUAUUGAAUUUAAAUGAUAAGUAACAUUUUGUAGUUUUACUCCUUUUAUUCUUGCUAUAGCCACCAAAAAAUUGAAACAUAAUGACAAAAUAUUCUAUUAUCGACUAAACACCAUUCCAUUAGUCAUUUAUAUUGCCAACAGAGUUACCAACAAAAAUAUAUUGCCAAUCAAAAUUUUGUUGCAUAUUUGUUAUUUGUCAACGCUACAAAUUAUAGACAAAAAUACCAAUGAAAUAUUGGCUCAAAAUAAAAUAAAAUGCACUGACUAGAUUUUAUCGAUCAUUCUAUCAGUAAAUCAAUUACCAAUGAAAUAUUCAGUUGCAAAUUCCAUCGGUGAAAUAUAACUAUUGCUAACAAAUUAAGCGACAAUAUUGGCAAAACAAUAUUCAUCAUUACACUCUAUCGGAGAUUCUAAAACUUCUUAAUCAUUCUGUAACUUUAUGAUGAAAUAGGGUUUUUAUUGUAGAUGGAAUCACUGAUGAUAUUUUUUUGUCUGUAAGUGAAUCCAUCAGAAAAUUACAAUUUGUUUUUAUAUAAGUAACAUUUUGUAGUUUUAUUCCUUUUAUUCUUGCUAUAGCCACCAAAAAAUUGAAACAUAAUGACAAAAUAUUCUAUUAUCGACUAAACACCAUUCCAUUAGUCAUUUAUAUUGCCAACAGAGUUACCAACAAAAACAUGUUGCCAAUCAAAAUUUUGUUGCCUAUUUGUUAUUUGUCGACGCUACAAAUUAUAGACAAAAAUACCAAUGAAAUAUUGGCUCAAAAUAAAAUAAAAUGCACUGACUAGAUUUUAUCGAUCAUUCUAUCAGUAAAUCAAUUACCAAUGAAAUAUUCAGUUGCAAAUUCCAUCGGUGAAAUAUAACUAUUGCUAACAAAUUAAGCGACAAUAUUGGCAAAAAAAUAUUCAUCAUUACACUCUAUCGGAGAUUCUAAAACUUCUUAAUCAUUCUGUAACUUUAUGAUGAAAUAGGGUUUUUAUUGUAGAUGGAAUCACUGAUGAUAUUUUUUUGUCUGUAAGUGAAUCCAUCAGAAAAUUACAAUUUGUUUUUAUAUAAGUAACAUUUUGUAGUUUUAUUCCUUUUAUUCUUGCUAUAGCAACCAAAAAAUUGAAACAUAAUGACAAAAUAUUCUAUUAUCGACUAAACACCAUUCCAUUAGUCAUUUAUAUUGCCAACAGAGUUACCAACAAAAACAUGUUGCCAAUCAAAAUUUUGUUGCAUAUUUGUUAUUUGUCGACGCUACAAAUGAUAGACAAAAAUACCAAUGAAAUAUUGGCUCAAAAUAAAAUAAAAUGCACUGACUAGAUUUUUUCGAUCAUUCUAUCAGUAAAUCAAUUACCAAUGAAAUAUUCAGUUGCAAAUUCCAUCGGUGAAAUAUAACUAUUGCUAACAAAUUAAGCGACAAUAUUGGAAAACAAAUAUUCAUCAUUACACUCUAUCGGAGAUUCUAAAACUUCUUAAUCAUUCUGUAACUUUAUGAUGAAAUAGGGUUUUUAUUGUAGAUGGAAUCACUGAUGAUAUUUUUUGUCUGUAAGUGAAUCCAUCAGAAAAUUACAAUUUGUUUUUAUAUAAGUAACAUUUUGUAGUUUUAUUCCUUUUAUUCUUGCUAUAGCCACCAAAAAAUUGAAACAUAAUGACAAAAUAUUCUAUUAUCGACUAAACACCAUUUCAUUAGUUAUUUAUAUUGCCAACAGAGUUACCAACAAAAACAUGUUGCCAAUCAAAAAUUUGUUGCAUAUUUGUUAUUUGUCGACGCUACAAAUUAUAGACAAAAAUACCAAAGAAAUAUUGUCUCAAAAUAAAAUAAAAUGCAGUGACUAGAUUUUGUCGAUCAUUCUAUCAGUAAAUCAAUUAUCAAUGAAAUAUUCAGUUGCAAAUUCCAUCGGUGAAAUAUAACUAUUGCUAACAAAUUAAGCGACAAUAUUGGCAAAAAAAAUAUUCAUCAUUACACUCUAUCGGAGAUUCUAAAAUUUCUUAAUCAUUCUGUAACUUUAUGAUGAAAUAGGGUUUUUAUUGUAGAUGGAAUCACUGAUGAUAUUUUUUGUCUGUAAGUGAAUCCAUCAGAAAAUUACAAAUUUUUUUUAUAUAAUUGUUAAAUUAAAAACCAAUAAAAAUCACAAAUAAAACCAAAUAUUAUUAAUUUUAUUGAACAUCAAAAUUUUAUUAAUUUUAAUUUUACAACAAUAUAUACACCGCUACACAGAUGGAGGUGGAGGGAAAUAAAAUCAUGAGCCAAAAGAACUAGAAUGAGGAGCAUGAUAAUGUUAGAAUCUCUUAAAGAAGAGACUCCAAUUCUACAGCCUAAAGUGGAUGAGCGCCUCGAUUGAUAUUAUGUGAAUUAGGUGUCUCUUCAUCAUCGACACCUAAAUUAAUAACAUGAUUAUGGACAUCACCAACACUAUUAUUGGUUGAAUCAACAACAACAAUAGAUCUCUUUAAACUUUUUCUUAGUAUCUCUAAAUAUUAUAUGAGUUAAUUUUCAAUUUCAAUGUAAUAAAUCUACAUUCUAUGUUGAAUAAUGGAGUACACAUCCCAAAAUAAUCUACAUUUAAAAAACGCACUUUCUAAGUCUAACAAGCUAUUCCAAUUAUUCAAUACUUUAUACCACUACUACUACUAUCAUCAUCAUCAUCAUCAUCAUUAUCAUCUAGGGCUUAAACAUUUAAUAUAACAAUUAUGCUUAGGUUUAUAACAACAACAGUAAUAAAACGAAUUAUAUUAAUUGUAAAAAAAAAUACAUAAAAAAAUCAAAAUAAAUAUUAAAAUUAUAGAAUCACGAUUAAAUUUUAUUAUAAUGCACAACACAAUUGCCAACAACAAUAAUAAUUACUCAAAUUUUAGUAUGUUUAUUGUAGGAAAAAUGCACACACAAUAAUAACAAUAAUAAUUACAAAAAAUUUAAUGCACAACAUAAAAUUAAAAGCAUACACAUGCAAUAAUAAUAUUCUCUUGGCAACUACAAACACUUUAGAGACUGAGAGACUUACCUUAAAGAGAUUGAGGAUGGGCGAUGACGAGAGAGAGAGAGAGAACGGGGGUGGGCGAUGAUGACUUUUUUAGUGAUGAGUGCAUUAAGGAUGGAGAGAGAGAGAGAGAGAAGGUGGUAGAGAGGGUGCGACAACUUUUGGAUAAUUAUAGCAACAAAGAUGAAAAUGGGAGAAAUAACGAUCAAAUUAUAACCUAAAAUCAUCAAUGAAAUUUUCAUUGUCGAUUCCGUCAACAUGUUAACAUAUGUCGACAUAAUCACUAAUGGAUAUUUAAUUAUUAUUUUUUAAUAUUUUUCAAUUACGUUGGCAAUUUUGUCGCCAUUUCUAAAACCUAUAAGACAUUUUUGACAAAAUCACAUUUAUUAGUGAUUCCAUCACCAUUUCUUAAACCUCCUAGGAUUUUUCAAUAAAACUGCACAUCCAUUGCUAAAACCUUUUGGAAUGUUUGAUGAAAUUGCAUGUCUAUUGGUGAUUUCUUCACCGUGGACAAUUCCAUCGACAAUUCCAUCACUAUUUGUUUUUUAAAAAAAUUUAUUGUUAUAAUAUCUUAGCCAACCUAAAUACACAAUAACAACAAUACCAAGCAUUUUAAAGCCAACAAUUGCCAACAUUAAACCCAAAACCACAACAAAUAUAAAAAAUACAAUGCAUUAUAGAGUUGCAACAAAUUUAUAUGAUGAUUGUAUUACAUCUAAAUCAAUGUAAUAUCGUUUAAUUAGAAUCCUCCUUUUCAUUUUUAUCAUCUUCUUUGUUGAAUCCAAAGCUUGUUGAUCUCAUCAUUUUCCUCUACUUCAUUAUGUCUACUAAUACUCAAAAUAUCAUUUCAAUCGUCAACAUCAAUAUAAGUAUUCUCAACAACAUGAAAAUUUAUAUUUUCUAACUUGGUAGAAGAAGCAACUCGAUAUAAAUUAAUUAUAUCAUCUAUUUGACAUACAUCAUCUCACUUAGAUACUUCAUUGUUAUCAUCUUCAAUUACUUUAUCUUUAGCACAACUGCUAAGUUUAGUUUUCACAAUGAAAAACCAAUCAACUCUAUUAUGAUCAUUUUCAAAUAAAGGAGUGUAUGUAUAAUACACUUGUUCCCAUUGUUUAGAAAAAAAAAUAAAAACAUCAUUGAUGUUGCAUAAUUGUUCUCUUUUAUUUACUUUGACCAUACCAUGUCGAGGAUCUACGCUAAUUCCUCUAUCGAUACCAUACAACUAGCAUUUUUAAAUAAAGCUAUUAUAUAUUGUUCACUAUGAUAUCACAAUUCAAUAACCUUUUAUAACAUGCCAUAAUAACUGACUUCAAUUUUAUUGGAAGUUGAACCCUUGACACAAACCCCAAUAUUUGACUAUCUCCAAUGAGAGAUGCUAUUUAGAAGAGCCAAAUUGGUAAUAUGACUUUUUAAAUAGUGUAAAUAUAGUUUUUUCUUUUCUUUUUUUGCGUAUGUGCACUCCAAUUGUAAAAAAACCAUUUAGAAGAGAAAAUUGUAUUUUAAUAUAUUUGAUACACAACUAUUUUAACAACAUAAUAUGAUUCAGUUGACUUGACAAGUCUAAAAAUAACCCGAACAAUUCUCAAUCAACUCAAUAUUAAAGAAUGAAAUUGAAAAGAAAAGAAAAAACAAAAAAUAACUAGAGUAAAUCUAGGUAAACUCGUAAAAAUCAUGAUACGGAUCAUGAGAUCAUGAUAAUCUCAUAAAAAACAAAGUAAAAAAAAUAGAUGUAAAAAAAAAUCAAAGAAAAAAAACUAGUACAAAACAAAUAUUAUUACAAUGAAUAGUGAUCUAGCAUUUUUGCAAGAUAUGUAGGAAUAAUAGUUUUUUUAGAGAAAUGCUAUAAAAAAAAAUUAGCACUCUCUUUAGAGCAUGUAAAAUAAACAUUAAAAAGCAUAUAUAUAUAUAUAUAUAUAUAUUAUGUCCUUCCUUUUAACAUCUCUAUUGGAGAUGCUCUUAUAUGUUUUUUGACCCUCACCUUACUCUAGUAUGAAAGAUAUAUUCAUUGAUGAAUUAUCCAUUAUAACACUAACCUUUCUUUGAGGACCUAGAGAAAGGAAUUUCAGUUGACCAGCAUUGUAUCUGAUUUGAAAGCCUAGUUAACGUUAAUUAAUGACCAUUAAUGGUUAGAGUCAUAACAUAAAUAAAUCUUUUCUUAUGAGUUAUGAAUUAUUAAAUACUUACAUGUAUUUUAAACCACAUGAAUAAAUUUUCAUCAUGUAAUUGGAAAGUUCGAGCUUCAAUUUCCAUGGCCUAACCUCUUAGUCAUAAAAAUAACCUUAACAUCUUCACAUUUUUACUAAACAAAAGGAAAACUUAUAGUUGUUGAAGUGUUAAAUUUGUUUUUUUCCAACAGACACCAAUUAUAGAAAUUGCAAUAAAAUAUCACUCUUGAUCACAAUGAUCAAGAUAUCAAAUGUAUUUAAUUGUUUCUUCCCUCAUUCAUACAACAUAAUCCUAAGAGAAUUCCAAGGGUUAGAUUUCAGGUAUAAAGGAAUGAGGGGCAUUGAUGUAAUUGCAUAACCAAUUGACAAGUAUAAAUAUUGUAAUUAUUGUAAGAUUUAUGUUUUAAUGUGUAAUUAUUGUAAUUAGCUUUGAUUUUGGUUUUGUUAAGGUUUAGGGUUUUGAAUUUUAUGUUUUAGGGUUAGAUUUAUGCAUUAAUUGAAGUGUUAUAGGUUAAGUUUUAUGUGUUAAACUGUUAUGGGUUGAAUAUGUUGGGUUUUAAGUUAGAAUUUAAAAUGUGUCAAUAUUAGGAGACUAGUGGAUUAGGAAUUUAAAAUCCUGAUCAACUGGUUGACCAGUAGGCUUAUUAACUUUAAUCGAUUGGUUGGUGAAUUUCGUUUGAUUUGCCUGACUAGGUUCGGUCAACUUAUUGGUAGAUUUUGGUCGACCAGUUGAUCAAACACUGAGGGUUGAUCGGUUCUUUUUGGCUCAAAAGUUUAGUAAAUGUUUGAGAUUGGUCAGGUAUAUCUGUUUCGCUUUUAUAUUUAUGUUUGUUCUCAAAUCUUAUAGAUGUAAUCUCUUAUGUUUUUUGUUUUGAGUCAUUUUUUAGUACAUUUGCUUUUAUAUUUAGAUACUCUUAAUACUCUACCUAUUGGGUAUCAAUAGGACUUCCAUCGAUAUCUGUUUUUGAAUCCUAACUACUUUUGAGUCAAGUGAGUGGAUAAUAUUCCAUAUGCUAAAAGAGUAGUAUAAAUAUUUUAAUUAUUAAUAUAAAAUUGAUCAUGCUUCUUGGUAAUUUAUAUAUUGCUUAUUAUCACUUGUCUAUGAUAAAACAUGAUCAAUGAUGGUUCAUUAAUGUCCAUUGAUUUAGACUCCUUCCCCCUUCCCAACUACGAAUAAGAUCGAGAGGAGCCCGAAAGAAAGCCCCCCAACCAAGAACGGAAACGGAAGCCUUUCUAUUCAUUCCCCAUUCUCUCUUAAAUAAAGCUCGCCCUCGAGCUUCAAUUUUAAUAUAAAUAAAGGGCAGGUCGGCCGGGUCUUUCCCUGUUGUUCUGUUUCCGCCACGAGAAAGACGCACGGAAGAGGUAUGCCCAAACAAAAUGAGAAAAAAAAGGAGAGGCCUUCGCAUUCCUAAUCCGGUAGGGCCGGCCGGCUUUGUUUGCCCCGGCUUGGCGAAUCGCAUCCCCGCGCAACGACAUUCUUUGUGCGCCCCGUCACCGUUCUCGCUCAGUGUUUGCAACGGCUGGGGAGGCAGUCGUAGAAGCGAAGCCUAUCGCCGAGCCGACCAAAAAAUACGAAAUUGGGCCCCUUCUAUGAAAUUGGAUGGAAUGGUCCAGCCUUUUCAGACUAAUUUCUUGAUAUGAGCAAUUGUGUUCUUCUGAAUUGACAACUUCUCAUUUGAUUGAUUGUAUGGGUUGAGCUUUUAAGAAAUGAUUAUGUUUUAUUUAAUUAUGACCCUAUGACAUACUAGUCAGAAUACUCAUGCUAACACGGUAGUGUUACUCUUUGUGCACAUCAUAGUUCUGAACCUUAGUUAGUCAAUAGAGUCACCAAAUUAUGGCGACCAAUUGUCUUAUAUUUUGGAGCUUCAUGCUCCUUACAUUUUGAUUUUCUAACAAACCAUAUGAUAUUUCUUUUUAUGAUCUCUUUGUAAAACUCUUUGAUAAAAGCAUAAGCCAAGCUUGUGUAUAGAUAUUUCUCAUUAAUGUCUUACCUUAUAUGUGUAUAUUAAACGUUAUCUACUCAAUGAGUUGUUUAACUCAUCCUCUUGUUAUUUAUUAUUUUUAGGCUUAUAGCUUUGUUAAUAGGUCGCUUUUGUGGACUUUUAGAACCUGCUCUUUGUUGCAAUUAACAUUAUUUCGUUAUGUCUAGUUAGAGCUCUACAAUUACAUAAUUUGCAUUAACUUUUGUAUAAAGAUGUUGAUUUAUAUUGUUAUCAUUGUUUCGUUACUCUAAUUGAGUUAAUAUAAAGAGAAGUUUGUAUGUAUGCUUAGAUUUGCAUACGUAAAGAACCUGGUGGGGGCCUUGUUUAUGUAUCGGUCAUGAAUCCAAGGUUUGGAUCAUGAUAAUUGGCUUCCUAAAAAAAGCAUGAUUUAUAAUCAAUUAUAUAAAAAAGAGUGUUCUAUUAUUAAGACUCGUCUAAUUAGUUUUCAUUUACUAGAAAUGUACUUUUUAUCACGUAAGGUGCUUUCGGUCUAAUAAUCCAAGUUACAGGUUUAAAAAAUUAAUGUUUGUUAAUAAUUUUUUUGUCUACUUAUAUUCUUUUUUUAUUUUAUUAUUUGACAUUGAUUUUUUUUUAAAUAGGCUUUAUAAUUUUCUUUGUUUUUUUUUUUUCUAUUAGAUUAUUUUAUUUUCAUGAAUUAUAAAUUUAAUAUAUUAUCCUGGGUGAACUCAAUCCUUUUCCGACCCCCGGCAGUGCAGGUCGACAUUAGAGCAACAACUAUUUGAAGGAUUUUUUUUUUUUUUUUAUCCAACUGGUAAAGUUAUGUUAGAGUUAGUUUAUACAUUAACUGACGCUAAAUCUUAUAAAUCUUUUCUCGAGAAAUCUUAAGAACAUAUCAUCUGUAUCCAUCCUAGUAUAUUUAAUAAAUUUCAGUAAAUGUUUGUCUUAAAAUUUGGAGCAGAACAAAUAGGUUGAGUUGCUAUAUGAAGUAGUGAAAUAGUAAUAAUAAUAUGACAGACUUCUACUCUUUCUCCAUUGAUCAAUGAAUUAAUUCAUUCAUAAAAAAAGAUAAAUUCAUGUAGGUGCGAUAGAUCUAUGGGUCAACUUCAGUGAGUUGUUAAGCUUUUACUCCCUACCCCCACUUGUACUGCUGUUCAUGCCAUAUAAGGCUAUUUCCACUACUCUACAAGCUUGAUAAUAAUGGAGAUCACAAUGCGUCCAGGCCUGAUUAAUUCAUUUACUAGCAUUACAAUGCUUUUGGUUUGCAUCUUCUUAGUCUUUUUAUCACUAGCCUUUGCUGCACAAGACAAUAUCAUUUCCAAUGAAUCCAUUAAAGAAGGCGAGAGUCUAGUUUCAGCAAAAAGAACUUUUGAACUGGGUUUUUUUAGCCCAGGAAAUUCAAUGAAUCGAUUUUUGGGAGUAUGGUUCAUGAAUGAAUUGUCAGCUCAUAAAGAAGUUAUUUGGGUUGCCAAUAGAGAAAUUCCGCUUACGGAUCGUUCUGGAUUUCUAAAUUUCACCCAGCAAGGAGUUUUGCUUCUUCUCAACGGAAACAAUGAAAUAAUUUGGUCAUCCAACAAAACAACAAAUGUUGAGAGUCCAGUUAUGCAGCUAUUGGAUUCAGGAAAUCUAGUUGUAGGAGAUGGGAAGGAUAGUAACUUCAUUUUAUGGCAGAGUUUUGAAUAUCCUUGUGAUACGUUUCUACCAGGAAUGAUGAUCGGAGGGAAUUCACAAACUGGUGUGGAUAGAAACCUGACAUCAUGGAAGAGCGCAGACGAUCCUGGUCCAGGCCAAUUUUCAUUUGGGAUAGAUCGUCAGGGGUUUCCACAGCUAGUCGUCAGGAAUGGAACUUUGAAGCACUAUAGGCUGGGUUCAUGGAAUGGAAAAAGUUUCACCGGGACUCCUGAUCUGCCUCGAGAUCAGUUCUUGAAGUAUGAUUUUAUUUUGAACAAGACUCAUGUAGAUUAUAGUUAUGAAAUCCUGAAACCGGGUGCAUUGUUGACGAGGUUAAUUGUGAAUCAGUCAGGAUUCGUGGAACGCUUUAUCCGUGCAAUUCAAACUAAUGGUUGGACACCAAUAUAUUCGGCACCAAGAGAUCUCUGUGACAAAUAUUCAGUAUGUGGUGCACAUAUGAUUUGCAAAAUGGUCGAUCAAUCCCACAAUUGUACUUGCUUGGAAGGAUUUGAACCCAAAUCUCUUACAGAUUGGAGUGAAGGGUGUGCUAGAAGGAGUCCAUUGAAUUGCACACAGGACAUCUUUCAGAUUUUUACAGGGCUUAAGUUGCCGGAUACAUCCCUUUCCUGGUAUGAUACAAGCAUGAGUCUAGUAGAAUGCAAGGACAAGUGUCUAAAAAACUGCAGUUGCACGGCAUAUGCAAAUUCAAAUAUCACAGGAGAAGGCAGUGGCUGCAUACUCUGGUUUGGUGAAUUGGUUGAUAUCAGAGAGUUCAGUCCAGGGGGCCAAGACCUCUACAUAAGGAUGCCACCACCUUUGAAAACAGGUAUUUAUCAAUAUUCUUCCCAUGAUUCUCAAGCAGGGUAUUUUUUUCACUCUUUCUCUCUGUUUCUUUUUCUUUUUCCUUUUGAAAUGAAGAAGUUGUAUGUUCCUUAAAUGUUUUCCUAACUUCGUGUCCUCAUUUCCUCAUUCUAUUUACAAAUAAAACAGAACUCCUUUCUCUGUUUAUUGUGGGUUUUCAGAUCAGACGACGUCAAACACAAAUUCUGGUAGGAAGAAGCUUUUAGGAAUCAUACUCGGUUCCACAGUCCUUGCUGGAGUGCUAACGGUAGGACUAACCUUCUAUAUAUGGAGAAAGAAGCAGAGAAAGCAAGGUAGUGUACUUUGGACAAUUCUUCUUAUUCCAGAACAUGGACCUUGUUGAUAUAUAUAGUAUGCAUGGUAGAUUACUACUAUUGUAGAAUUUUAUGUUAGUCAUCGAUAACAAAAUGAAGCAUUUGUUAGAUCAUGUUGUUAGUCAAUUAGCUUUGAUAAGGAGAAGCUGUUCGUUUAUCAUUGCUGACAACUGAUCAAUCUUCUGCUAUUCAGAAAUAGAGGAAGACAUGGAGUUACCAUCGUUUCAUUUGGCCACCAUAGUGAAAGCAACGGAUAACUUUUCAAGCAACAACAAGUUGGGACAAGGUGGUUUUGGACCGGUAUAUAAGGUAUAUAACAACGUGCUUCAAAGCUGAGAGAUCAUCUACUAUGAGAUAUUCUAACUUCAGUAAAUAACGAUUCCCAGGGUACAUUGAUUGAUGGGCAAGAAAUAGCAGUGAAAAGACUUUCAAAAAGUUCUCGGCAAGGAUUGACAGAGUUCAAGAAUGAAGUUAUCUUGAUAGCUAAGCUUCAGCACAGAAAUCUUGUUAAACUUCUUGGCUGUUGCAUUCAAGGAGAUGAAGUAAUGUUGAUCUAUGAAUUCAUGCCCAACAAAAGCCUAGAUUAUUUUAUUUUCGGUUUGUACCCCAUGAACUGGUUAGAGUUUCUUGCAGUUAGAUUGCUUGUUCUAUGAUGUUUCAUUUAUACAUCAGAAUAACAUAACAUUAUGAUAAAUUGAUUAGAUCAAACAAGAAACAAAUUCCUGGACUGGCAGAGACGUAACCUCAUUAUCGGUGGCAUUGCUAGAGGACUACUUUAUCUUCAUCAAGACUCUAGACUAAGGAUUAUCCAUAGAGAUCUCAAAGCCAGCAACAUAUUAUUAGAUAAGGAUAUGAACCCCAAAAUUUCAGAUUUUGGAAUGGCUAGACUGUUUGGAGGAGACCAAAUUGAAGCAGACACAAAUAAAGUGGUCGGAACAUAGUAAGUACACUCUACACCUAUUUUGUUACAAUGUAUAAUGUCCGCACCAUUUAAACUUUUUCUGAUAAUGUUUUUCCGCAGUGGAUACAUGCCCCCUGAGUACGUUGUUGAUGGGCGUUUCUCACUGAAAUCCGACGUCUUCAGCUUCGGUGUUUUAGUCUUGGAGAUAAUAAGUGGGAAGAAAAAUAGAGGAUUCUCCCACCCGGAUCACUGCCAUAAUCU
Molecule: long non-coding RNA, 41936 nt
Filed under: Populus tremula
Lineage: Eukaryota; Viridiplantae; Streptophyta; Magnoliopsida; Malpighiales; Salicaceae
Description: long non-coding RNA (PTRE_LNC000315)
Source: RNAcentral